UUACCGUAGGUGAACCUGCGGUAGGAUCAUUGUCGUGCCUGGCGAACCGUGAAGGGGAGGGAAGGAUUCUCCGAUGCAUCCGCACGAAACCACCCACCGAGACGAAACUCCCAUGUGGAGGGCAAGGGCGGUCGGGUCGGGCGGGUCACCCUCUCCUGCCCCCUGUCGUCGUUGUCAUCUCGAUCCAAUGAAGGUGCGUUGGCCUUGCCGUGCCAUCCAGCAGGGGAUUCCCUCCGUCGCGUGCCGCGGUGUGGGACUGCCAGUCGGAGGGCCAUUGUGCAGUGCCAUGGGUUUUACUUCGUGGGUUCCCUCGGCGGUUGCCUGCCUUGGUCGCGUGAGCACGCGGGGCAUCGCGGUAGGCCAACGUGUGUGGGAAGGUGUCCGCACCGUCGCCUGCCGGUCGACCCCACCGCUACCGUUGGAGGCGGUGGCCGUUCGGUUGGUUCCCUAAGCAGACCUCCGACGCGAUGCGCUCGAGCGGUACUGCCGGUCCUUCGUAGCUUGAUGCCCAACGUGGUCGGGCUCGGCACCGACCGAGGAUGUUUUUGGGCGAGCAUUGGUUCGAGGCUGCCACAACCCCCUGCCACGAUGUCCGCCCGACAUCGCCGUGCGGUGGGUCGGCCCUCCGAUGGUAGCACUCGCGAUCCGAGUCGCGGGGAUGACACCCCGUCGGACGGAGCCGUCCUCACCCUCGGCCCCCGGGCCUUCGUCUAGCCGGACGGGGACAACCCCUCUUCUCCCUUUGUUGCUCACCUCUCCCAUCGUGGGGGCCGAACUCCUCUGCCAAGCCGCUCUUGGAAGCAUCACCCGGCACCACGGGUUUUAGUUCCUGUGGGCGGGCAGCGAGGGGGGACUUGGGCGCAUCAACAAGAGACCCCCCCAAAAAACAUUCGGUGCCACUCCGCACCAAGGACAUUGAUGCAAGCCGUGUCGGACCCCCGUGCCUUGUGCGCGGAGGGCGGCCGGCAUCUGACCAACAUGACUCUCGGCAACGGAUAUCUCGGCUCUCGCCACGAUGAAGAACGUAGCGAAAUGCGACACUUGGUGUGAAUUGCAGAAUCCCGUGAAUCAUCGAGUCUUUGAACGCAAGUUGCGCCCGAGGCUUCGGUCGAGGGCACGUCUGCCUGGGCGUCGCACUCCAAGAAAAAAGGAAAAGAAAACCGACCUCCCUUCGCCCCCGCAUGGGGGUGGGAGGACCGGGAUGUGGUCAUCCGUGCCCCACGACGGCGCGGUCGGCUGAAACGUGCGCGUUGGCUCAUCGUCCCUUCUGACCCCGACGAGCGGUGGCCCCCUUCGGAGUCGGCGUUGGUCGGGUGUCAGGCGAUCGAGACUCCGCGUAGGACUUUACGGCACGGCGGGCGGCUUGCGUUUUUUCGUGCGGCCCCCGUCCCCUGCCCCAGCUCGCGCCCCCAGGUCAGGCGAGAAC
RNAcentral lists this ribosomal RNA (1426 nucleotides) under Agathis robusta. RNAcentral describes it as "eukaryotic LSU rRNA". The stretch from base 981 to 1134 matches the Rfam family "5.8S ribosomal RNA". The record is from RNAcentral. Lineage: Eukaryota; Viridiplantae; Streptophyta; Pinopsida; Araucariales; Araucariaceae.